AGAUUGAACGCUGGCGGCGUGCCUAACACAUGCAAGUCGGGCGGUAACAGGCGUAGCAAUACGUGCUGACGAGCGGCGAACGGGUGAGCAAUGCUUCGGAAUCUGCCCAAUGAUGGGGAAUAACCAGUCGAAAGAUUGGCUAAUACCGCAUACGCCCUUCGGGGGAAAGCGGGGGUCGCAAGACCUCGCGUCGAUGGAUGAGCCGAAGUCGGAUUAGCUAGUUGGUAGGGUAACGCCUACCAAGGCGACGAUCCGUAGCUGGUCUGAGAGGACGACCAGCCACACUGGGACUGAGACACGGCCCAGACUCCCUACGGGG
RNAcentral lists this ribosomal RNA (319 nucleotides) under uncultured soil bacterium. RNAcentral's name for it is "bacterial SSU rRNA". It matches the Rfam family "Bacterial small subunit ribosomal RNA", at positions 26 to 346 of the family's 1533-position model. The record is from RNAcentral.